GCUGGCGGAGGGGGAGCGGGAACAGCUGGCUGAGGAGAGGGGCUCUCGUCUUGUGGUGCAGGAUUUCAUUACUCCUAAUUUCCAGCAAGUUACAGUUCAGGACAUCAUGAAAAUGAGGCAGUGCAAAGGAUACAUUCAGAACUGCCUGGAUGACUUGCAGCCGCAAGGAAAGAUGGACGGGAAGGAGAUAAAACAUUUCCAACUUGUGAGGAAGCUGUGAAGAUGAUUAAUAUAGUGUAACACUACGUUAGCAGUACAGUGUCUCUAGCAUUCCGGUGAUAUUUGGAUGUACCUGACAUAAAACAAUAGGCUGUGCUGCCAUGAGAAGCAAGGUGAGACGUGAGAUGUUCUAAUUGGAAACUGUUAAAAUUCUUCUGCGCCUAUUCUGCAAAUCCACUCUCAUUCCUUACCCCCACAGCGACUAAAGAUACACUAGCCCACUCACAUAUCCUCUCCUUUGACUCUGGUGGCAGAUAUAUUUUAAACACACACUGACUGACUCCCGGUCCCUGCGUGUUUUGUAUUCUCUCUGAGAGGAGAGACCCUCAGGGCCUGACUCAAGGGGUGAUUUCACUGAGGUGCUUAUGUUAAAGCAAG
This is a long non-coding RNA of Anguilla anguilla (European eel), 597 nucleotides long. RefSeq lists it as uncharacterized. NCBI's taxonomy places the organism in Eukaryota, Metazoa, Chordata, Actinopteri, Anguilliformes, Anguillidae. The record is from RefSeq and is a predicted model, not a curated record. The transcript has 3 exons.